UCUUAGAGAUAUUUUCACUGGGUCAUAGUUGCUUAUUUAUUGUUUUUGUGAGAGGGAUGAACAUUGGAGUCUCCUAGUAUAACACCUUGCUGACAUCAUGCUGCUAUUGAUUUAUGAUCUUUGCCUUUGCUCAUUCAGUCUCUCUAUGGAAAUACUUUGUCAAAUUUUGCCUGAUUUCCUAAGUCUCUGUUCUGUUUUUGUGUAAAUCCUUUGCUACCACCAGUAAAGUUGUUUCUCUAAUUGUGGUGACUCGGGUACUGAGCUUGGCCUAAAGAAAUAUUUUCUGGAUGUUCAGAAGGUAGCAAAUACGGUGGUUACAAAUAUGAGUUACGAAGUUCAAGCUUGAGCAUCACCGUCUACCUGUGUGACUUGUGGAUUAGAAGCCCACUGGAAUGCUAGAAGAGUGCCCCAGAAUCCAAAUGAUAAAGUGCAUCUGAGCAGCAUAAGGGGUGGACUGUGGCACUUUAUUCACUGAUGUUACCUUCCUGGACCCUUAACAUACCUGCAUUUGUGAUUGUCAUCAUGGAAUCUUAGCCUCGGAGAAGGCCACCAAUGUGCAGUCAGCUCUAACGAACUAGUGCCCUCACCAGCACUCCUGACGAGAGUGAUGUGCUGGUGUUGGAACACUGUAGGAAGCUUACCAACUCUGAACAUAGUAGCCUGGAUCCUUUCAGACAGCUUGGACUGUUAGAAAGUUCUGCCUUUUCAGGAGUCAAAAUAUGCUUGCUUGUGACAUUCGCCUCACUAUUCCCAGCCCAGUCCUCUAAAGAAAGGUUCAU
Long non-coding RNA from Phyllostomus discolor (pale spear-nosed bat), 779 nucleotides. RefSeq lists it as uncharacterized. The record is from RefSeq and is a predicted model, not a curated record. NCBI's taxonomy places the organism in Eukaryota, Metazoa, Chordata, Mammalia, Chiroptera, Phyllostomidae. The transcript has 3 exons.